CCUACGGGAGGCAGCAGUGAGGAAUAUUGGUCAAUGGACGAGAGUCUGAACCAGCCAAGUCGCGUGAAGGAUGACUGCCCUAUGGGUUGUAAACUUCUUUUAUAUGGGAAUAAAAUGUUCCACGUGUGGGGUUUUGUGUGUACCAUAUGAAUAAGGAUCGGCUAACUCCGUGCCAGCAGCCGCGGUAAUACGGAGGAUUCGAGCGUUAUCCGGAUUUAUUGGGUUUAAAGGGUGCGUAGGUGGGUUGUUAAGUCAGGUGUGAAAGUUUGGGGCUCAACCGUAAAAUUGCAGUUGAAACUGGCAGUCUUGAGUACAGUAGAGGUGGGCGGAAUGCGUGGUGUAGCGGUGAAAUGCUUAGAUAUCACGAAGAACUCCGAUUGCGAAGGCAGCUCACUGGACCGCAACUGACACUGAGGCUCGAAAGUGUGGGUAUCAAACAGGAUUAGAUACCCCAGUAGUC
This 460-nucleotide ribosomal RNA is filed under the name uncultured bacterium. Its description in RNAcentral is "partial 16S ribosomal RNA". It matches the Rfam family "Bacterial small subunit ribosomal RNA", at positions 338 to 795 of the family's 1533-position model. The record is from RNAcentral.